GGGAAGGGGAAGGAGGUUGGGGCGGAAGGAGUGGAAGCCCUGCUCAAGAACUUGAGGAUUGCUGAGAAGAAGAAGAAGUGUGUGGUGCUAGGGACGGCAAGCGCAAGGGCGAAGGUAAACCCAAACCAAACUAUUGGGAAAGUGUUGUCCAAAAAAGCUGCGGAUGCGGAUGACAUUGCUCAGACUCUGGGGAGGAUUUGGUGCCCAAGGGAGGGUACCUUGUGCAAGGAGCUGAGGAGGAAUUUGUUCCUGCUCACUUUCGGCCAGGCGUCGGGGAAGAGGAAAGCGCUCGAAGGGGGGCCAUGGCUAGUGGGCAAAGAACUGCUGGUGCUGGAGGAUUUCGUUGCAAGCAAAACGUUGGAUGAUUAUGAGUUCUGGUACUUCUCGAUAUGGGUUAGGGUGUCAAACAUCCCUUUGGGAAUGAUGAAUAAAGAGACAGGAGAGCUGAUUGGACAAGCAAUGGGGGAAUUCAUGGAAGCGGAGAUAGAUGCAGAGGACAUGGCAGUGGGGGAGUCACUACUUCAGGAUGCUGCUAACGCGACACUACGAUCAGAGACCCUUCGACGAAACUGUGUGCGAUGCAAUAAUCGCAAACGGUGGUGUAAAAAACUGUCAAAAAAGGUGCAAAACGUUUGCGAUGGCGGAGCCAUCAAACACGGUUCAGAUUUUAGUUGCGUGUGCGAUGCAGGGCAUACAGUUCAGUUCAAUAAACUGUUUGCGAUGAGGCGGAACAAAAGAAACGGGCAGCCAGAUGAAGGUGUGUGCGAUAUACAGCAUACGGUUCACUCGGAUGAACUGUUUGUGAUGAGGAGGAACAAUAGAAACGGGCAGCUAGAUAAAGGUGUGUGCAAUUGA
Molecule: ribosomal RNA, 855 nt
Filed under: Triticum aestivum (bread wheat)
Lineage: Eukaryota; Viridiplantae; Streptophyta; Magnoliopsida; Poales; Poaceae
Description: partial small subunit ribosomal RNA
Source: RNAcentral